AUCUUAGUGCAUGGGUUUUACGCAUAUCAGUGAGGAUUCGUCCGAGAUUGCGUUUUUGCUAGUUGAAAACUAUAACCAUGACCGCUCUUGCUUGGCUUCGCGCCGGGUGAGGAAUUUUUGGAAACACACAAUCUCUUGAG
RNAcentral lists this small nuclear RNA (140 nucleotides) under Drepanopeziza brunnea f. sp. 'multigermtubi' MB_m1. Its description in RNAcentral is "Marssonina brunnea f. sp. 'multigermtubi' MB_m1 U4 spliceosomal RNA". It matches the Rfam family "U4 spliceosomal RNA". Rfam says of the family: U4 small nuclear RNA (U4 snRNA) is a component of the major U2-dependent spliceosome. The structure of U4 snRNA from yeast and human has been reported. The record is from Rfam by way of RNAcentral. Lineage: Eukaryota; Fungi; Ascomycota; Leotiomycetes; Helotiales; Drepanopezizaceae.